Molecule: ribosomal RNA, 253 nt
Filed under: uncultured bacterium
Lineage: Bacteria
Description: partial 16S ribosomal RNA
Rfam family: Bacterial small subunit ribosomal RNA
Source: RNAcentral
UACAGAGGAGCCAAGCGUUGUCCGGAUUGACUGGGCGUAAAGCGCACGCAGGCGGGUGCGCGCGUGGGGUGUGAAAUCUGGCCGCUUAACGGCCAGGCGCCAUCCCAUACGGCGCGCCUGGAGCCUUGCAGAGGUCGGUGGAAUUGCCGGUGUAGUGGUGAAAUGCGCAGAUAUCAGGAGGAACACCAAUGGCGAAGGCAGCUCGCUGGGACGUGACUGACGCUGAGACGCGAAAGCGUGGGGAGCAAACAGG